This 467-nucleotide long non-coding RNA is filed under the name Nicotiana benthamiana. RNAcentral's name for it is "long non-coding RNA (NBEN_LNC023145)". The record is from RNAcentral. Lineage: Eukaryota; Viridiplantae; Streptophyta; Magnoliopsida; Solanales; Solanaceae.
AUGUUUUGUCUUUUUCCAAAAAGGGGAGCAUUUUGGUCAUUAAGUACUUAAAAGGAGCUCUAAGUGUCUUUUUCUCUAAAACAAAUGUAGCACAUAUUGCAGUCAAUCGGGAAAUAUGCCUAAUCACUUCGAGUCUUGAACAAAGUAAAUACUGUAUUGAUGAUACAAUUAUACUUUGCACCUUGAUAAAGGCUCUCCUGCCCUUGUGCUUGUUUAUUGGACACGAAUUGACAAAAGAAUCUUAUUUCAACUUGCGUCUUUUAUAGCUCCUCGAGUGCUAGAUGUAUCCCCACUUAAUCUUGAAUAGGGAUUAUCAUGCUCCAUUAUUACCUUUAAGAUUUAUGAUAGCAAGCUCUUGUUCAACAAAUUCACCUGCACAAAUGGGAGGAUACUUGCUUGCAAGAGGAGUGUCUGAAAAAUGCCCUAAAGGUUUUAGCACAGCAUCUGAUGCUAUGUGUGCGAAUAGC